UACGGGGGGAGCAAGCGUUGUUCGGAUUUACUGGGCGUAAAGGGCGCGUAGGCGGCCAGCACAAGUCAGUUGUGAAAUCUCCGAGCUUAACUCGGAAAGGUCAACUGAUACUGUGCGGCUAGAGUGCGGAAGGGGCAACUGGAAUUCUUGGUGUAGCGGUGAAAUGCGUAGAUAUCAAGAGGAACACCUGCGGCGAAGGCGGGUUGCGGGGCCGACACUGACGCUGAGGCGCGAAAGCCAGGGGAGCGAACGGG
RNAcentral lists this ribosomal RNA (254 nucleotides) under uncultured bacterium. RNAcentral's name for it is "partial 16S ribosomal RNA". It matches the Rfam family "Bacterial small subunit ribosomal RNA", at positions 524 to 776 of the family's 1533-position model. The record is from RNAcentral.